RNAcentral lists this transfer RNA (67 nucleotides) under Cyrtotrachelus buqueti. Its description in RNAcentral is "tRNA-Leu". Lineage: Eukaryota; Metazoa; Arthropoda; Insecta; Coleoptera; Curculionidae. The record is from RNAcentral.
GUUAUUUUGGCAGAUUAGUGUGUUAGAUUUAGAAUCUUGGAAUGUAAAUGUAGAUUUACAAAUAACA